This 467-nucleotide ribosomal RNA is filed under the name uncultured bacterium. Its description in RNAcentral is "partial 16S ribosomal RNA". It matches the Rfam family "Bacterial small subunit ribosomal RNA", at positions 28 to 506 of the family's 1533-position model. The record is from RNAcentral.
GACGAACGCUGGCGGCGUGCUUAACACAUGCAAGUCGAACGGAAAGGCCCUGCUUUUGUGGGGUGCUCGAGUGGCGAACGGGUGAGUAACACGUGAGUAACCUGCCCUUGACUUUGGGAUAACUUCAGGAAACUGGGGCUAAUACCGGAUAGGAGCUCCUGCUGCAUGGUGGGGGUUGGAAAGUUUCGGCGGUUGGGGAUGGACUCGCGGCUUAUCAGCUUGUUGGUGGGGUAGUGGCUUACCAAGGCUUUGACGGGUAGCCGGCCUGGGAGGGUGACCGGCCACAGUGGGACUGGGAUGCGGCCCAGACUCCUACGGGCGGCAGCAGUGGGGAAUAUUGCACAAUGGGCGGAAGCCUGGUGCAGCAACGCCGCGUGCGAGAUGACGGCCUUCGGGUUGUAAACCGCUUUCGCCUGUGACGAAGCGUGAGUGACGGUAAUGGGUAAAGAAGCACCGGCUAACUACGU